AGCAGUAGCCGCGGUAAUACGGAGGGUGCAAGCGUUAAUCGGAAUUACUGGGCGUAAAGCGUGCGUAGGCGGUUCGUUAAGUCUGUUGUGAAAGCCCCGGGCUCAACCUGGGAAUGGCAAUGGAUACUGGCGAGCUAGAGUGUGUCAGAGGAUGGUGGAAUUCCCGGUGUAGCGGUGAAAUGCGUAGAGAUCGGGAGGAACAUCAGUGGCGAAGGCGGCCAUCUGGGACAACACUGACGCUGAGGCACGAAAGCGUGGGGAGCAAACAGGAUUAGAUACCCGCGUAGUCCCUGUCUCUUAUAC
RNAcentral lists this ribosomal RNA (303 nucleotides) under uncultured bacterium. RNAcentral describes it as "partial 16S ribosomal RNA". It matches the Rfam family "Bacterial small subunit ribosomal RNA", at positions 507 to 807 of the family's 1533-position model. The record is from RNAcentral.